This 480-nucleotide ribosomal RNA is filed under the name uncultured bacterium. RNAcentral describes it as "partial 16S ribosomal RNA". It matches the Rfam family "Bacterial small subunit ribosomal RNA", at positions 28 to 523 of the family's 1533-position model. The record is from RNAcentral.
GACGAACGCUGGCGGCGUGCCUAACACAUGCAAGUCGAGCGAAUGAAGUUCCUUCGGGAACGGAUUUAGCGGCGGACGGGUGAGAAACACGUGGGCAACCUGCCUCAUAGAGGGGAAUAGCCUUUCGAAAGGAAGAUUAAUACCGCAUAAGAUUGUAGCUUCGCAUGAAGUAGCAAUUAAAGGAGCAAUCCGCUAUGAGAUGGGCCCGCGGCGCAUUAGCUAGUUGGUGAGGUAACGGCUCACCAAGGCAACGAUGCGUAGCCGACCUGAGAGGGUGAUCGGCCACAUUGGGACUGAGACACGGCCCAGACUCCUACGGGAGGCAGCAGUGGGGAAUAUUGCACAAUGGGGGAAACCCUGAUGCAGCAACGCCGCGUGAGUGAUGACGGCCUUCGGGUUGUAAAGCUCUGUCUUCAGGGACGAUAAUGACGGUACCUGAGGAGGAAGCCACGGCUAACUACGUGCCAGCCGCCGCCGUAA